Molecule: transfer RNA, 68 nt
Filed under: Dioryctria yiai
Lineage: Eukaryota; Metazoa; Arthropoda; Insecta; Lepidoptera; Pyralidae
Description: tRNA-Leu
Source: RNAcentral
ACUAUUUUGGCAGAAAAAUGUAAUGGUUUUAGAAGUCAUUAAUGUAUAAAUUUAUUAUACAGAUAGUA